This 2887-nucleotide ribosomal RNA is filed under the name Cnuella takakiae. RNAcentral describes it as "Bacterial large subunit ribosomal RNA". It matches the Rfam family "Bacterial large subunit ribosomal RNA". Lineage: Bacteria; Pseudomonadati; Bacteroidota; Chitinophagia; Chitinophagales; Chitinophagaceae. The record is from Rfam by way of RNAcentral.
UUUAAAGCACAUAAGGGCGUAUGGUGGAUGCCUUGGCUCUGAGAGGCGAUGAAGGACGUGGUAAGCUGCGAUAAGCUGCGGGGAGAUGCACACAAUCGAUACAUCCGCAGAUUUCCGAAUGGGACAACCCGCUAUGUUGAAGACAUAGCAUCUCGAAAGAGAAGCCAACCCUCUGAACUGAAACAUCUAAGUAGGAGGAGGAAAAGAAAAUAAACAAUGAUUCCCCAAGUAGUGGCGAGCGAACAGGGAAGAGCCCAAACUUGAGGUGCGUGCACCUUGAGGGUUGUAGGACCGCAUUUAGAAAGCUCAAUCAAGCUGAAGCCCCUGGAAAGUGGCGUCAUAGAGGGUGAUAAUCCCGUAAGCAGAAAUUUGAGUGGACGAGCGGUAUCCUGAGUAGGGCGGGACCGGAGAAAUCCUGCCUGAAUCUGCCGGCACCAUCCGGUAAGGCUAAAUACUCCUCAGAGACCGAUAGUGAACCAGUACCGUAAGGGAAAGGUGAAAAGCACCCUGAAUAAGGGAGUGAAAUAGUACCUGAAACCGUACGCCUACAAGCGGUCGGAGCCUAUAGCAAUAUGGGUGACGGCGUGCCUUUUGCAUAAUGAGCCUACGAGUUGCUCCUCACUGGCGAGGUUAAGUUCUUAACUAACGGAGCCGUAGCGAAAGCGAGUCCAAAUAGGGCGUUUUAGUCAGUGGGGGCAGACGCGAAACUUUGUGAUCUAUCCAUGGUCAGGUUGAAGGUUAGGUAAAACUAACUGGAGGACCGAACUCAUAAACGUUGAAAAGUUUUGGGAUGAACUGUGGAUAGGGGUGAAAGGCCAAUCAAACUGAGAGAUAGCUCGUUCUCCCCGAAAUGUUUUUAGGAACAGCGUCGCAUUUUAGAAGUUUAUUAGAGGUAGAGCUACUGAUUGGGCUAGGGGGCUUCACCGCCUACCAAACCCUGACAAACUCCGAAUGCUAAUAAAUAUCUGCGGCAGUGAGGCUGCGGGCGCUAAGGUCCGUGGCCGAGAGGGAAAUAACCCAGAAUAGCAGCUAAGGUCCCUAAUACAUGGUUAAGUUGAUCAAACGAGGUGGAGUUUCUAUAACAGCCAGGAUGUUGGCUUGGAAGCAGCCAUUCAUUUAAAGAGUGCGUAACAGCUCACUGGUCGAGAGACUCUGCGCGGAAAAUAAUCGGGCAUCAAACCAUGAACCGAAGCUCUAUGAUACAUACUUUCAGUAUGGAUCGGUAGGGGAGCAUUGAAACCUGCAUCGAAGGUGAUAAGCGAUUAUUGCUGGAGCGGUUUCAAAAGAAAAUGUAGGCAUAAGUAACGAUAAAACAGGUGAAAAACCUGUUCGCCGAAAGUCUAAGGGUUCCUGAUCAACGUUAAUCGGAUCAGGGUUAGUCGGGUCCUUAGGUGAACCCGAAAGGGGUAACUGAUGGAAAGCUGGUUAAUAUUCCAGCACCCGUUUUAGUUUCGAUGGGGUGACGCAGUUGUGAAAGUUCCCCGCACUUACGGAAUAGUGCGGUUAAGUACGUAGCUAUUUGUUUUCCAGGCAAAUCCGGAAGAUAAGGCGAAAUACGAAAGUACACCAAUGCUUCGGCUGCGGUGAGUGAACCUAAAGGCUGCCGAGAAAAACCUCUAAGGCUAGGCUAAGACGGCCCGUACCGCAAACCGACACAGGUAGACGGGAUGAAUAUUCUAAGGCGCUCGGGUGAGCCGUGGAGAAGGAACUAGGCAAAUUGACGCUGUAACUUCGGGAUAAGGCGUACCAUAGCGAUAUGGUCACAGUAAAAUGGUUCAACCAACUGUUUAACAAAAACACAGGGCUCUGCAAAAUCGUAAGAUGAAGUAUAGGGCCUGAUACCUGCCCGGUGCUGGAAGGUUAAGGAAGGGUGUUCGGGGGUAACCCCAAAGCUCCUGACUGAAGCCCCAGUAAACGGCGGCCGUAACUAUAACGGUCCUAAGGUAGCGAAAUUCCUUGUCGGGUAAGUUCCGACCUGCACGAAUGGUCUAAUGAGUUGAACACUGUCUCCUCCACGAGCCCGGUGAAAUUGUAGUAUCGGUGAAGAUGCCGGUUACCCGCCACGGGACGGAAAGACCCCGUGAACCUUCACUACAACUUUGCAUUGAUUUUGAACAACCAGUGUGUAGGAUAGUUGGGAGACUAUGAAGCAUCGUCGCCAGGCGGUGUGGAGUCAACGUUGAAAUACCAACCUCUGUUUGUUUAGAGUCUAAUCCCUAACGGGAAACAGUGCAUGGUGGGUAGUUUGACUGGGGUGGUCGCCUCCUAAAGAGUAACGGAGGCUUGCAAAGGUUCCCUCAGUACGGUUGGUAAUCGUACGCAGAGCGCAUCAGUAUAAGGGAGCUUGACUGUGAGACAGACAAGUCGAUCAGGGACGAAAGUCGGCUGAAGUGAUCCGGUGGUUCCGCAUGGAAGGGCCAUCGCUCAAAGGAUAAAAGGUACUCCGGGGAUAACAGGCUGAUCUUUCCCAAGAGCUCAUAUCGACGGAAAGGUUUGGCACCUCGAUGUCGGUUCGUCACAUCCUGGGGCUGGAGAAGGUCCCAAGGGUUCGGCUGUUCGCCGAUUAAAGUGGCACGUGAACUGGGUUCAGAACGUCGCAAGACAGUUCGGUCCCUAUCUGUGGUGGGCGCAAGUAAAUUGAGAGGACAUGACCUUAGUACGAGAGGACCGGGUCGUACGUACCGCUGGUGUAUCAGUUGUGCCGCCAGGUGCAAUGCUGAGUAGCUAAGUACGGACAGGAUAAACGCUGAAAGCAUCUAAGCGUGAAACCUUCCUCAAGAUGAGUUUACUUUUAAGGGCCGUAGGAGACGACUACGUUGAUAGGCUACAGAUGUAAAGCUGGUAACAGCACAGUCGAGUAGUACUAAUUGCCCGUACGCUUUAAUUU